This 492-nucleotide ribosomal RNA is filed under the name uncultured bacterium. Its description in RNAcentral is "partial 16S ribosomal RNA". It matches the Rfam family "Bacterial small subunit ribosomal RNA", at positions 29 to 507 of the family's 1533-position model. The record is from RNAcentral.
AGUGAACGCUGGCGGUAGGCCUAACACAUGCCAGUCGAACGGCAGCACAGUAAGAGCUUGCUCUUACGGGUGGCGAGUGGCGGACGGGUGAGGAAUACAUCGGAAUCUACUUUUUCGUGGGGGAUAACGUAGGUAAACUUACGCUAAUACCGCAUACGACCUACGGGUGAAAGCAGGGGAUCUUCGGACCUUGCGCGAUUGAAUGAGCCGAUGUCGGAUUAGCUAGUUGGCGGGGUAAAGGCCCACCAAGGCGACGAUCCGUAGCUGGUCUGAGAGGAUGAUCAGCCACACUGGAACUGAGACACGGUCCAGACUCCUACGGGAGGCAGCAGUGGGGAAUAUUGGACAAUGGGCGCAAGCCUGAUCCAGCCAUACCGCGUGGGUGAAGAAGGCCUUCGGGUUGUAAAGCCCUUUUGUUGGGAAAGAAAAGCAGCAGGUUAAUACCCCGCUGUUCUGACGGUACCCAAAGAAUAAGCACCGGCUAACUUCGUG